Molecule: unclassified non-coding RNA, 333 nt
Filed under: soil metagenome
Description: partial contains 5.8S ribosomal RNA, internal transcribed spacer 2, and large subunit ribosomal RNA
Rfam family: 5.8S ribosomal RNA (bases 1-120)
Source: RNAcentral
GAUGAAGAACGCAGCAAAAUGCGAUAAGUAAUGUGAAUUGCAGAAUUCAGUGAAUCAUCGAAUCUUUGAACGCACAUUGCGCCCGCCAGUAUUCUGGCGGGCAUGCCUGUUCGAGCGUCAUUUCAACCCUCAAGCUCAGCUUGGUGUUGGGACUCGCGGUAACCCGCGUUCCCCAAAUCGAUUGGCGGUCACGUCGAGCUUCCAUAGCGUAGUAAUCAUACACCUCGUUACUGGUAAUCGUCGCGGCCACGCCGUAAACCCCCAACUUCUGAAUGUUGACCUCGGAUCAGGUAGGAAUACCCGCUGAACUUAAGCAUAUCAAUAAGCGGAGGA